RNAcentral lists this ribosomal RNA (426 nucleotides) under uncultured bacterium. Its description in RNAcentral is "bacterial SSU rRNA". It matches the Rfam family "Bacterial small subunit ribosomal RNA", at positions 354 to 796 of the family's 1533-position model. The record is from RNAcentral.
GUAGGGAAUAUUGCACAAUGGGCGAAAGCCUGAUGCAGCAACGCCGCGUGCACGAUGAAGGCCUUCGGGUUGUAAAGUGCUUUUUGUGGAGAUGAGGAAGGACAGUAUCCUCAGAAUAAGAAUCGGCUAACUACGUGCCAGCAGCCGCGGUAACACGUAGGAUUCAAGCGUUAUCCGAAUUUACUGGGCGUAAAGCGCGUGCAGGUGGUUUGGUAAGUUGGAUGUGAAAGCUCCUGGCUCAACUGGGAGAGGCUGUUCAAAACUACCAGACUAGAGGACGGUAGAGGGAGGUGGAAUUCCCGGUGUAGUAGUGAAAUGCGUAGAUAUCGGGAGGAACACCAGUGGCGAAGGCGGCCUCCUGGACCGUUCCUGACGCUCAGACGCGAAAGCUAGGGGAGCGAACGGGAUUAGAUACCCGAGUAGUCC